RNAcentral lists this ribosomal RNA (433 nucleotides) under uncultured bacterium. RNAcentral's name for it is "partial 16S ribosomal RNA". It matches the Rfam family "Bacterial small subunit ribosomal RNA", at positions 29 to 507 of the family's 1533-position model. The record is from RNAcentral.
AACGAACGCUGGCGGCAUGCCUAACACAUGCAAGUCGAACGAGACCUUCGGGUCUAGUGGCGCACGGGUGCGUAACGCGUGGGAAUCUACCCUCAGGUUCGGAAUAACUCAGAGAAAUUUGAGCUAAUACCGGAUGAUGACGUAAGUCCAAAGAUUUAUCGCCUGAGGAUGAGCCCGCGUAGGAUUAGGUAGUUAGUGAGGUAAAGGCUCACCAAGCCGACGAUCCUUAGCUGGUCUGAGAGGAUGAUCAGCCACACUGGGACUGAGACACGGCCCAGACUCCUACGGGAGGCAGCAGUGGGGAAUAUUGGACAAUGGGCGAAAGCCUGAUCCAGCAAUGCCGCGUGAGUGAUGAAGGCCUUAGGGUUGUAAAGCUCUUUUACCCGGGAUGAUAAUGACAGUACCGGGAGAAUAAGCUCCGGCUAACUCCGUG